Molecule: ribosomal RNA, 528 nt
Filed under: uncultured marine eukaryote
Lineage: Eukaryota
Description: bacterial SSU rRNA
Rfam family: Eukaryotic small subunit ribosomal RNA
Source: RNAcentral
UUAAAAAGCUCGUAGUUGGAUUUCUGCGGGAGCGGGGCGGCCUGCCAGCACGUCUGGUGUUGGUCAGCACUUCUCUCGCAUCCUGCCGCGAUCCGCGCUUCCAUUAACUUAGAGGCGCCUGGGGACCGGCUCGUUUACUUUGAGAAAAAUAGAGUGUUCAAAGCAGGCCUCACGCCUUGAAUAAGUUAGCAUGGAAUAAUAUUAAAGGACUUCGGUUCUAUUUUGUUGGUGUUCGGGACUGAAGUAAUGAUUGAUAGGGACAGUUGGGGCGGUCCGUAUUCCAAAGCGAGAGGUGAAAUUCUUAGACCUUCGGAAGACGAACAGCUGCGAAAGCGUUCCGCAAGGAUGUUCCCUUUGAUCAAGAACGAAAGUUGGGGGAUCGAAGACGAUCAGAUACCGUCGUAGUCUCAACUAUAAACUAUACCAGCUAGGGAUCGGCCAACGUUCAAUUAUUCGACUUGGUCGGCACCUUAUGAGAAAUCAAAGCAUCUGGGUUCCGGGGGGAGUAUGGUCGCAAAGGUUGAAACU